Molecule: ribosomal RNA, 1530 nt
Filed under: Salmonella enterica subsp. enterica
Lineage: Bacteria; Pseudomonadati; Pseudomonadota; Gammaproteobacteria; Enterobacterales; Enterobacteriaceae
Description: bacterial SSU rRNA
Rfam family: Bacterial small subunit ribosomal RNA
Source: RNAcentral
AGAGUUUGAUCAUGGCUCAGAUUGAACGCUGGCGGCAGGCCUAACACAUGCAAGUCGAACGGUAACAGGAAGCAGCUUGCUGCUUCGCUGACGAGUGGCGGACGGGUGAGUAAUGUCUGGGAAACUGCCUGAUGGAGGGGGAUAACUACUGGAAACGGUGGCUAAUACCGCAUAACGUCGCAAGACCAAAGAGGGGGACCUUCGGGCCUCUUGCCAUCAGAUGUGCCCAGAUGGGAUUAGCUUGUUGGUGAGGUAACGGCUCACCAAGGCGACGAUCCCUAGCUGGUCUGAGAGGAUGACCAGCCACACUGGAACUGAGACACGGUCCAGACUCCUACGGGAGGCAGCAGUGGGGAAUAUUGCACAAUGGGCGCAAGCCUGAUGCAGCCAUGCCGCGUGUAUGAAGAAGGCCUUCGGGUUGUAAAGUACUUUCAGCGGGGAGGAAGGUGUUGUGGUUAAUAACCACAGCAAUUGACGUUACCCGCAGAAGAAGCACCGGCUAACUCCGUGCCAGCAGCCGCGGUAAUACGGAGGGUGCAAGCGUUAAUCGGAAUUACUGGGCGUAAAGCGCACGCAGGCGGUCUGUCAAGUCGGAUGUGAAAUCCCCGGGCUCAACCUGGGAACUGCAUUCGAAACUGGCAGGCUUGAGUCUUGUAGAGGGGGGUAGAAUUCCAGGUGUAGCGGUGAAAUGCGUAGAGAUCUGGAGGAAUACCGGUGGCGAAGGCGGCCCCCUGGACAAAGACUGACGCUCAGGUGCGAAAGCGUGGGGAGCAAACAGGAUUAGAUACCCUGGUAGUCCACGCCGUAAACGAUGUCUACUUGGAGGUUGUGCCCUUGAGGCGUGGCUUCCGGAGCUAACGCGUUAAGUAGACCGCCUGGGGAGUACGGCCGCAAGGUUAAAACUCAAAUGAAUUGACGGGGGCCCGCACAAGCGGUGGAGCAUGUGGUUUAAUUCGAUGCAACGCGAAGAACCUUACCUGGUCUUGACAUCCACAGAACUUUCCAGAGAUGGACUGGUGCCUUCGGGAACUGUGAGACAGGUGCUGCAUGGCUGUCGUCAGCUCGUGUUGUGAAAUGUUGGGUUAAGUCCCGCAACGAGCGCAACCCUUAUCCUUUGUUGCCAGCGGUCCGGCCGGGAACUCAAAGGAGACUGCCAGUGAUAAACUGGAGGAAGGUGGGGAUGACGUCAAGUCAUCAUGGCCCUUACGACCAGGGCUACACACGUGCUACAAUGGCGCAUACAAAGAGAAGCGACCUCGCGAGAGCAAGCGGACCUCAUAAAGUGCGUCGUAGUCCGGAUUGGAGUCUGCAACUCGACUCCAUGAAGUCGGAAUCGCUAGUAAUCGUGGAUCAGAAUGCCACGGUGAAUACGUUCCCGGGCCUUGUACACACCGCCCGUCACACCAUGGGAGUGGGUUGCAAAAGAAGUAGGUAGCUUAACCUUCGGGAGGGCGCUUACCACUUUGUGAUUCAUGACUGGGGUGAAGUCGUAACAAGGUAACCGUAGGGGAACCUGCGGUUGGAUCACCU